RNAcentral lists this ribosomal RNA (253 nucleotides) under uncultured bacterium. RNAcentral's name for it is "partial 16S ribosomal RNA". It matches the Rfam family "Bacterial small subunit ribosomal RNA", at positions 524 to 776 of the family's 1533-position model. The record is from RNAcentral.
UACGAAGGGGGCUAGCGUUGUUCGGAAUUACUGGGCGUAAAGCGCACGUAGGCGGAUCGAUCAGUCAGGGGUGAAAUCCCAGGGCUCAACCCUGGAACUGCCUUUGAUACUGUCGAUCUGGAGUAUGGAAGAGGUGAGUGGAAUUCCGAGUGUAGAGGUGAAAUUCGUAGAUAUUCGGAGGAACACCAGUGGCGAAGGCGGCUCACUGGUCCAUUACUGACGCUGAGGAGCGAAAGCGUGGGGAGCAAACAGG